Molecule: long non-coding RNA, 1114 nt
Organism: Sciurus carolinensis (gray squirrel)
Lineage: Eukaryota; Metazoa; Chordata; Mammalia; Rodentia; Sciuridae
Exons: 3
Source: RefSeq, a predicted model, not a curated record
CCUCCCUCCCCUCCUCCCUCCUCCCCACUUCCUCUCCCCGCUGCCACCCACCCCAGUGCCUGCCUGGUCACAGACCAGGCUCAGGAAGCACACCCAUCGAGAAGUCUUCAUGUUCCAGCAUCAGCCUGCCCACCCCUGCCCCCAGCCAGGCUCCUACAGGGACAGGACACCACCCACCGGAGCUUAAACAACACGCUCCUUUCUCAGAGUCUGAAGCCUGAGAGUGCAGACCACAGGGAGGACUCUCUCCCGCCGGCUUGCGGCCGCUCCCUCUGUGACCUCUCCUUGUAAUGGCCCAAGCCCAUCGGGGCCCCACCCUCCUGGCCUCCUCUGACCCUGCUCACCUCCCCAAGGUCAACUCCAAAUCCAUCACCUGGGGGCUCAGGGGUCCCGUAUGUGAAGUCCAGCCCCCCUGCGGCCCAGGGCCGGCACUCGUGCCCGCAGCCCCUGCUCAGGACUGAGAAUCCCCAAGCCUCUUUCUGCGGACCAGAAAGACCCUCGUCCUGCGUGAGCAGAUGGGAUUCCGUUCAGGAUCUGGAGAGAAGAUCAUCCUGAUGGCCUGAGACGUCCUAAACCCGGGGUCGGGGUCCUUACAGGAGCCUCGACAGGCACAGAGAAGAUGGCAGAGGCUGGGCUGAAGCUUCCUCGGGCACCAGGAGCUUGAAGAGCAAAGGGUUCCCCCAGCGCCGGGGGGCACAGCCCCAGGCUCCCUGGGUGUCAGGCUCCGCCUUCCAAGACAGUGGGGCGACCGCUGGUCUUCAGUGUCCAGCAAACCACACAGGACCAGGCACGGGGCCCUGGAGGCCCGGCCAGGCUCAGGCCCACACCUGCCGCCUCGGGCCAGAGGGCUGAGCCCUAAAUAGGAGCUAAAUACAGGAAAACCAUGACAGAAGAAUCAGAGCUAAUUUUGUAAGGAAAGCUUGUUUGUAGAGAGUUUAAUUUUUGUUGUUGUUCCUUUGGGGUAAAAAAUAAGAAAAUAGAUUUCCCACUCCCGCGCAGAAUAAUUAUGUCAAUGUGGAUGGCGGAGGCUUCAUCUGCCCCAGCCCUGUACGAUUUCAUCAUUCUAGACGAUUAAAAUUUUUAAUCAAAGGUUUCAGUUAUUAAACUGCCUGAG